CCCUUAGAUGUUCUGGGCUGCACGCGCGCUACACUGAUGCACUCAACGAGUUUACGACCUUGCCCGAUAGGGUUGGGUAAUCUUUUUAAAAUGCAUCGUGAUGGGGAUAGAUUAUUGCAAUUAUUAAUCUUCAACGAGGAAUGCCUAGUAGGCGCAAGUCAUCAGCUUGCGUCGAUUACGUCCCUGCCCUUUGUACACACCGCCCGUCGCUCCUACCGAUUGGGUGUGCUGGUGAAAUGUUCGGAUCGGCCGUUUGUCGCGGUUUCCGCGUCAUGUGGCUGAGAAGUUCAUUAAACCCUCCCACCUAGAGGAAGGAGAAGUCGUAACA
RNAcentral lists this ribosomal RNA (328 nucleotides) under uncultured eukaryote. Its description in RNAcentral is "partial 18S ribosomal RNA". It matches the Rfam family "Eukaryotic small subunit ribosomal RNA", at positions 1470 to 1796 of the family's 1831-position model. The record is from RNAcentral.